GUGGGGAAUAUUGCACAAUGGGGGAAACCCUGAUGCAGCAACGCCGCGUGAGUGAUGACGGCCUUCGGGUUGUAAAGCUCUGUCUUCAGGGACGAUAAUGACGGUACCUGAGGAGGAAGCCACGGCUAACUACGUGCCAGCAGCCGCGGUAAUACGUAGGUGGCGAGCGUUGUCCGGAUUUACUGGGCGUAAAGGGAGCGUAGGCGGACUUUUAAGUGAGAUGUGAAAUACCCGGGCUCAACUUGGGUGCUGCAUUUCAAACUGGAAGUCUAGAGUGCAGGAGAGGAGAAUGGAAUUCCUAGUGUAGCGGUGAAAUGCGUAGAGAUUAGGAAGAACACCAGUGGCGAAGGCGAUUCUCUGGACUGUAACUGACGCUGAGGCUCGAAAGCGUGGGGAGCAAACAGGAUUAGAUACCCGUGUAGUCC
RNAcentral lists this ribosomal RNA (425 nucleotides) under uncultured bacterium. Its description in RNAcentral is "bacterial SSU rRNA". It matches the Rfam family "Bacterial small subunit ribosomal RNA", at positions 354 to 796 of the family's 1533-position model. The record is from RNAcentral.